This 420-nucleotide ribosomal RNA is filed under the name bacterium. RNAcentral describes it as "partial 16S ribosomal RNA". It matches the Rfam family "Bacterial small subunit ribosomal RNA", at positions 355 to 776 of the family's 1533-position model. The record is from RNAcentral.
UGGGGGAUAUUGCACAAUGGGCGAAAGCCUGAUGCAGCGACGCCGCGUGGGGGAUGAAGGCUUUCGGGUUGUAAACCUCUUUCGCUAUCGAACAAGGCCCGCUUAGGGUGGGUUGAGGGUAGGUGGAGAAGAAGCGCCGGCUAACUACGUGCCAGCAGCCGCGGUAAUACGUAGGGCGCGAGCGUUGUCCGGAAUUAUUGGGCGUAAAGGGCUUGUAGGCGGCUUGUUGCGCCUGCUGUGAAAACGCGGGGCUUAACUUCGCGCGUGCAGUGGGUACGGGCAGGCUUGAGUGUGGUAGGGGUGACUGGAAUUCCAGGUGUAGCGGUGGAAUGCGCAGAUAUCUGGAGGAACACCGAUGGCGAAGGCAGGUCACUGGGCCAUUACUGACGCUGAGGAGCGAAAGUAUGGGUAGCGAACAGG